RNAcentral lists this ribosomal RNA (468 nucleotides) under uncultured bacterium. Its description in RNAcentral is "partial 16S ribosomal RNA". It matches the Rfam family "Bacterial small subunit ribosomal RNA", at positions 28 to 507 of the family's 1533-position model. The record is from RNAcentral.
GACGAACGAGGGAGGCGUGCUUAACACAUGCAAGUCGAACGGAAAGGCCCUGCUUUUGUGGGGUGCUCGAGUGGCGAACGGGUGAGUAACACGUGAGUAACCUGCCCUUGACUUUGGGAUAACUUCAGGAAACUGGGGCUAAUACCGGAUAGGAGCUCCUGCUGCAUGGUGGGGGUUGGAAAGUUUCGGCGGUUGGGGAUGGACUCGCGGCUUAUCAGCUUGUUGGUGGGGUAGUGGCUUACCAAGGCUUUGACGGGUAGCCGGCCUGAGAGGGUGACCGGCCACAUUGGGACUGAGAUACGGCCCAGACUCCUACGGGAGGCAGCAGUGGGGAAUAUUGCACAAUGGGCUGAAGCCUGAUGCAGCAACGCCGCGUGCGGGAUGACGGCCUUCGGGUUGUAAACCGCUUUCGCCUGUGACGAAGCGUGAGUGACGGUAAUGGGUAAAGAAGCACCGGCUAACUACGUG